Oncorhynchus tshawytscha (Chinook salmon) is the source of this 2066-nucleotide long non-coding RNA. The record is from Ensembl. NCBI's taxonomy places the organism in Eukaryota, Metazoa, Chordata, Actinopteri, Salmoniformes, Salmonidae.
CCUGACCCUACAGCUGUUUGGAGUCUAACCAGGGGGUCCAAUCUGACCCUACAGCUGUUUGGAGUCAAACCAGGGGGUCCAAUCUGACCCUACAGCUGUUUGGAGUCAAACCAGGGGUUCCAAUCUGACCCUACAGCUGUUUGGAGUCAAACCAGGGGGCCCAAUCUGACCCUACAGCUGUUUGGAGUCUAACCAGGGGGUCCAAUCUGACCCUACAGCUGUUUGGAGUCAAACCAGGGGGUCCAAUCUGACCCUACAGCUGUUUGGAGUCUAACCAGGGGGUCCAAUCUGACCCUACAGCUGUUUGGAGUCUAACCAGGGGGUCCAAUCUGACCCUACAGCUGUUUGGAGUCUAACCAGGGGGUCCAAUCUGACCCUACAGCUGUUUGGAGUCAAACCAGGGGGUCCAAUCUGACCCUACAGCUGUUUGGAGUCAAACCAGGGGGUCCAAUCUGACCCUACAGCUGUUUGGAGUCAAACCAGGGGGUCCAAUCUGACCCUACAGCUGUUUGGAGUCAAACCAGGGGGUCCAAUCUGACCCUACAGCUGUUUGGAGUCAAACCAGGGGGUCCAAUCUGACCCUACAGCUGUUUGGAGUCUAACCAGGGGGUCCAAUCUGACCCUACAGCUGUUUGGAGUCAAACCAGGGGGUCCAAUCUGACCCUACAGCUGUUUGGAGUCAAACCAGGGGGUCCAAUCUGACCCUACAGCUGUUGUACCAAAACAAAGUCGUCAUCAGCGAUUGGAUCAUCUCUAACCAAUCAGAGUAUCAAAACGAAGUCGUCAUCAGCGAUUGGAUCAUCUCUAACCAAUCAGAGUAUCAAAACGAAGUCGUCAUCAGCGAUUGGAUCAUCUCUAACCAAUCAGAGUAUCAGAAUGAAGCUACAGCCACACGUGUUCCGGCUCUGGUCCCAGAAACCAACGGGUUGGACCAAUCAGACGGUCUAGUAUGGAUUUCCAUUCUAGAAAUCGUCGGGUUGCCAGGCGAUACAGCAGACCUUUUUGUAGAGACGAUUAGUCAUCCCUGUUGGAAAUGAUCCAGCCGGGUUGCCAGGUUACACCAGCCCGUCUCCAGCUUCUACACAGACAGUCACAACAAACAUAUCUGGCAUCCUGGCUAGUAAAGACUGACACACCAACUGAAAUACAAACAGACCAUCUGUAUACCAAAUGGCACCCUAUUCCCUAUAUAGUGCACUACUUUAGACCAGAGCCCCAUGGCACCCUACUCCCUAUAUAGUGCACUACUUUAGACCAGAGCCCCAUGACACCCUACUCCCUAUAUAGUGCACUACUUUAGACCAGAGCCCUACUCCCUAUAUAGUGCACUACUAUAGACCAGAGCCCCAUGGCACCCUACUCCCUAUAUAGUGCACUACUUUAGACCAGAGCCCUAUGGCACCCAACUCCCUAUAUAGUGCACUACUUUAGACCAGAGCCCUAUGGCACCCAACUCCCUAUACCCAACUCCCUAUAUAGUGCACUACUUUAGACCAGAGCCCUAUGGCACCCAACUCCCUAUAUAGUGCACUACUUUAGACCAGAGCCCUAUGGCACCCAACUCCCUAUAUAGUGCACUACUUUAGACCAGAGCCCUAUGGCACCCAACUCCCUAUAUAGUGCACUACUUUAGACCAGAGCCCUAUGGCACCCAACUCCCUAUAUAGUGCACUACUUUAGACCAGAGCCCUACUCCCUAUAUAGUGCACUACUUUAGACCAGAGCCCUACUCCCUAUAUAGUGCACUACUUUAGACCAGAGCCCCAUGACACCCUACUCCCUAUAUAGUGCACUAGCACCCUACUCCCUAUAUAGUGCACUACUUUAGACCAGAGCCCCAUGACACCCUACUCCCUAUAUAGUGCACUACUUUAGACCAGAGCCCUACUCCCUAUAUAGUGCACUACUAUAGACCAGAGCCCCAUGACACCCUACUCCCUAUAUAGUGCACUACUUUAGACCAGAGCCCCAUGACACCCUACUCCCUAUAUAGUGCACUACUUUAGACCAGAGCCCUACUCCCUAUAUAGUGCACUACUAUAGACCAGAGCCCCAUGACACCCUAC